This 954-nucleotide ribosomal RNA is filed under the name Cutibacterium acnes. RNAcentral's name for it is "bacterial SSU rRNA". It matches the Rfam family "Bacterial small subunit ribosomal RNA", at positions 56 to 1021 of the family's 1533-position model. Lineage: Bacteria; Bacillati; Actinomycetota; Actinomycetes; Propionibacteriales; Propionibacteriaceae. The record is from RNAcentral.
UGCAGUCGAACGGACAGGCCCUGCUUUUGUGGGGUGCUCGAGUGGCGAACGGGUGAGUAACACGUGAGUAACCUGCCCUUGACUUUGGGAUAACUUCAGGAAACUGGGGCUAAUACCGGAUAGGAGCUCCUGCUGCAUGGUGGGGGUUGGAAAGUUUCGGCGGUUGGGGAUGGGCUCGCGGCUUAUCAGCUUGUUGGUGGGGUAGUGGCUUACCAAGGCUUUGACGGGUAGCCGGCCUGAGAGGGUGACCGGCCACAUUGGGACUGAGAUACGGCCCCACUCCUACGGGAAGCAGCAGUGGGGAAUAUUGCACUUUGGGCGGAAGCCUGAUGCACCAACGCCGCGUGCGGGAUGACGGCCUUCGGGUUGUAAACCGCUUUCCCCUGUGACGAAGCGUGAGUGACGGUAAUGGGUAAAGAAUCACCGGCUAACUACGUGCCAGCAGCCGCGGUGAACGUACGGUACAAGCGUUGUCCGGAUUUAUUGGGCGUAAAGGGCUCGUAGGUGGUUGAUCGCGUCGGAAGUGUAAUCUUGGGGCUUAACCCUGAGCGUGCUUUCGAUACGGGUUGACUUGAGGAAGGUAGGGGAGAAUGGAAUUCCUGGUGGAGCGGUGGAAUGCGCAGAUAUCAGGAGGAACACCAGUGGCGAAGGCGGUUCUCUGGGCCUUUCCUGACGCUGAGGAGCGAAAGCGUGGGGAGCGAACAGGCUUAGAUACCCUGGUAGUCCACGCUGUAAACGGUGGGUACUAGGUGUGGGGUCCAUUCCACGGGUUCCGUGCCGUAGCUAACGCUUUAAGUACCCCGCCUGGGGAGUACGGCCGCAAGGCUAAAACUCAAAGGAAUUGACGGGGCCCCGCACAAGCGGCGGAGCAUGCGGAUUAAUUCGAUGCAACGCGUAGAACCUUACCUGGGUUUGACAUGGAUCGGGAGCGCUCAGAGAUGGGUGUGCCUCUUU